GAACCAAACAGCUGCACAACUCUGCUGCCUCUCAGUGCAGUUUCUGUAACAGUAGCAGAAAUCUGGGAGCCAAAGUUUUGUUUGGCUUUGAAACAAGCAGAAAUAAACAGCGCACACCCACCCCAAAACUCUCCAUUGCUUUGGUGUAGCCAGUUAGGCUGGAAGGAGCCCAAGAAAACAGUCCACAUUUACAACAUCUGCAGCUUCAGUCUGCAACAGUGUACAGUAACAGAGUCAGUGACAGUGUGUGACAAUGACCUGUGGGACCAAGAAGUGAUUCCCCCAACCAACAGGGAAGAAACAGGCAAUAUGGAAGGAAGGACUGAGAGGAAAGAUGGUGUUUGGAUAAGGUUACCCGCAGCAACUGGAUAUUAG
Molecule: long non-coding RNA, 375 nt
Filed under: Coturnix japonica (Japanese quail)
Lineage: Eukaryota; Metazoa; Chordata; Aves; Galliformes; Phasianidae
Description: lncRNA (ENSCJPG00005018238.1)
Source: RNAcentral